CCCCAAAAAUCAGAGAAAGAAAGAAUCAUCUUCUUCCUUAAAACUUUACAUGCAAAUCAAACUUCCCAAGCUCAUAACUUCUUUGUUUCUCAACGGAAUCAGACGAUUCUUGCGGCCACGGAACGAGGAGAACGAGAGCUACUCAUCAAGCCCAUAAAAUCAAGACGCAUCGAUGGACUUCGAAAGUGACAUGUUUGGCUUAGUGGGGUUCGACUAUUAUUUUAAUAUCAUGAUUUGGAUAGCGAAUUCAUGUUUUCUUUCAGGUUAAUUAUAUGGCGACGUGGUCGAGUUUCCAUUCAUUGUUCUGGAAGUCUCAGUUAUGAAAGUUUCUACCCUUCUUAGAGCUGCAGUAGUUAUGUUAGUAGACAGUUUAUGUUUUUCAUGUGCUGUGGCAUAAAGAUGUAUUUUUGGAAAAUGGUUUAUCCAUACAUUUUGUAUAUGAUUACAUGGUAUUUUUAACAGGGUGGUUUGUGUUUUUUAACAGGUGCCAGUAGCACAGUUUUCAAACGUUA
Long non-coding RNA from Mercurialis annua (annual mercury), 512 nucleotides. RefSeq lists it as uncharacterized. The transcript is spliced from 3 exons. Lineage: Eukaryota; Viridiplantae; Streptophyta; Magnoliopsida; Malpighiales; Euphorbiaceae. The record is from RefSeq and is a predicted model, not a curated record.